UAGGUUAACGAGGCGAACCGGGGGAACUGAAACAUCUAAGUACCCCGAGGAAAAGAAAUCAACCGAGAUUCCCCCAGUAGCGGCGAGCGAACGGGGAGCAGCCCAGAGUCUGAAUCAGCUUGUGUGUUAGUGGAACGGUCUGGAAAGUCCGACGGUACAGGGUGAUAGUCCCGUACACCAAAAUGCACAGGCUGUGAACUCGAAGAGUAGGGCGGGACACGUGGUAUCCUGUCUGAAUAUGGGGGGACCAUCCUCCAAGGCUAAAUACUCCUGACUGACCGAUAGUGAACCAGUACCGUGAGGGAAAGGCGAAAAGAACCCCGGCGAGGGGAGUGAAAAAGAACCUGAAACCGUGUACGUACAAGCAGUGGGAGCACCUUCGGGUGUGACUGCGUACCUUUUGUAUAAUGGGUCAGCGACUUAUAUUCUGUAGCAAGGUUAACCGUAUAGGGGAGCCGCAGGGAAACCGAGUCUUAACUGGGCGUUAAGUUGCAGGGUAUAGACCCGAAACCCGGUGAUCUAGCCAUGGGCAGGUUGAAGGUUGGGUAACACUAACUGGAGGACCGAACCGACUAAUGUUGAAAAAUUAGCGGAUGACUUGUGGCUGGGGGUGAAAGGCCAAUCAAACCGGGAGAUAGCUGGUUCUCCCCGAAAGCUAUUUAGGUAGCGCCUCGUGAAUUCAUCUUCGGGGGUAGAGCACUGUUUCGGCUAGGGGGUCAUCCCGACUUACCAACCCGAUGCAAACUACGAAUACCGAAGAAUGUUAUCACGGGAGACACACGGCGGGUGCUAACGUCCGUCGUGAAGAGGGAAACAACCCAGACCGCCAGCUAAGGUCCCAAAGUCAUGGUUAAGUGGGAAACGAUGUGGGAAGGCACAGACAGCCAGGAUGUUGGCUUAGAAGCAGCCAUCAUUUAAAGAAAGCGUAAUAGCUCACUGGUCGAGUCGGCCUGCGCGGAAGAUGUAACGGGGCUAAACCAUGCACCGAAGCUGCGGCAGCGACACUAUGUGUUGUUGGGUAGGGGAGCGUUCUGUAAGCCUGCGAAGGUGUGCUGUGAGGCAUGCUGGAGGUAUCAGAAGUGCGAAUGCUGACAUAAGUAACGAUAAAGCGGGUGAAAAGCCCGCUCGCCGGAAGACCAAGGGUUCCUGUCCAACGUUAAUCGGGGCAGGGUGAGUCGACCCCUAAGGCGAGGCCGAAAGGCGUAGUCGAUGGGAAACAGGUUAAUAUUCCUGUACUUGGUGUUACUGCGAAGGGGGGACGGAGAAGGCUAUGUUAGCCGGGCGACGGUUGUCCCGGUUUAAGCAUGUAGGCUGGUUGUCCAGGCAAAUCCGGAUAAUCAAGGCUGAGGUGUGAUGACGAGGCACUACGGUGCUGAAGUAACAAAUGCCCUGCUUCCAGGAAAAGCCUCUAAGCAUCAGGUAACAUCAAAUCGUACCCCAAACCGACACAGGUGGUCAGGUAGAGAAUACCAAGGCGCUUGAGAGAACUCGGGUGAAGGAACUAGGCAAAAUGGUGCCGUAACUUCGGGAGAAGGCACGCUGGUGUGUAGGUGAAGUCCCUGCGGAUGGAGCUGAGACCAGUCGAAGAUACCAGCUGGCUGCAACUGUUUAUUAAAAACACAGCACUGUGCAAACACGAAAGUGGACGUAUACGGUGUGACGCCUGCCCGGUGCCGGAAGGUUAAUUGAUGGGGUUAUCCGUAAGGAGAAGCUCUUGAUCGAAGCCCCGGUAAACGGCGGCCGUAACUAUAACGGUCCUAAGGUAGCGAAAUUCCUUGUCGGGUAAGUUCCGACCUGCACGAAUGGCGUAAUGAUGGCCAGGCUGUCUCCACCCGAGACUCAGUGAAAUUGAACUCGCUGUGAAGAUGCAGUGUACCCGCGGCAAGACGGAAAGACCCCGUGAACCUUUACUAUAGCUUGACACUGAACAUUGAGCCUUGAUGUGUAGGAUAGGUGGGAGGCUUUGAAGCGUGGACGCCAGUCUGCGUGGAGCCAACCUUGAAAUACCACCCUUUAAUGUUUGAUGUUCUAACGUUGGCCCCUGACCGGGGUUGCGGACAGUGUCUGGUGGGUAGUUUGACUGGGGCGGUCUCCUCCCAAAGCGUAACGGAGGAGCACGAAGGUUAGCUAAUCCUGGUCGGACAUCAGGAGGUUAGUGCAAUGGCAUAAGCUAGCUUGACUGCGAGCGUGACGGCGCGAGCAGGUGCGAAAGCAGGUCAUAGUGAUCCGGUGGUUCUGAAUGGAAGGGCCAUCGCUCAACGGAUAAAAGGUACUCCGGGGAUAACAGGCUGAUACCGCCCAAGAGUUCAUAUCGACGGCGGUGUUUGGCACCUCGAUGUCGGCUCAUCACAUCCUGGGGCUGAAGUAGGUCCCAAGGGUAUGGCUGUUCGCCAUUUAAAGUGGUACGCGAGCUGGGUUUAGAACGUCGUGAGACAGUUCGGUCCCUAUCUGCCGUGGGCGCUGGAGAAUUGAGGGGGGCUGCUCCUAGUACGAGAGGACCGGAGUGGACGCAUCACUGGUGUUCGGGUUGUCAUGCCAAUGGCACUGCCCGGUAGCUAAAUGCGGAAGAGAUAAGUGCUGAAAGCAUCUAAGCACGAAACUUGCCCCGAGAUGAGUUCUCCCUGAGACUUUAAGUCUCCUGAAGGAACGUUGAAGACGA
This 2659-nucleotide ribosomal RNA is filed under the name Klebsiella pneumoniae. RNAcentral's name for it is "partial 23S ribosomal RNA". It matches the Rfam family "Bacterial large subunit ribosomal RNA". The record is from RNAcentral. Lineage: Bacteria; Pseudomonadati; Pseudomonadota; Gammaproteobacteria; Enterobacterales; Enterobacteriaceae.